This 400-nucleotide ribosomal RNA is filed under the name uncultured bacterium. RNAcentral describes it as "bacterial SSU rRNA". It matches the Rfam family "Bacterial small subunit ribosomal RNA", at positions 356 to 773 of the family's 1533-position model. The record is from RNAcentral.
GGGGAAUAUUGCACAAUGGGGGAAACCCUGACGCAGCGACGCCGCGUGAAGGAAGAAGUAUCUCGGUAUGUAAACUUCUAUCAGCAGGGAAGAAAAUGACGGUACCUGACUAAGAAGCCCCGGCUAACUACGUGCCAGCAGCCGCGGUAAUACGUAGGGGGCAAGCGUUAUCCGGAUUUACUGGGUGUAAAGGGAGCGUAGACGGAGCAGCAAGUCUGAUGUGAAAGGCGGGGGCUCAACCCCCGGACUGCAUUGGAAACUGUUGAUCUUGAGUACCGGAGAGGUAAGCGGAAUUCCUAGUGUAGCGGUGAAAUGCGUAGAUAUUAGGAGGAACACCAGUGGCGAAGGCGGCUUACUGAACGGUAACUGACGUUGAGGCUCGAAAGCGUGGGGAGCAAAC